This 253-nucleotide ribosomal RNA is filed under the name uncultured bacterium. Its description in RNAcentral is "partial 16S ribosomal RNA". It matches the Rfam family "Bacterial small subunit ribosomal RNA", at positions 524 to 776 of the family's 1533-position model. The record is from RNAcentral.
GACGUAGGGCGCGAGCGUUGUCCGGAUUUAUUGGGCGUAAAGAGCUCGUAGGCGGCUUGUCGCGUCGACUGUGAAAACCUGGGGCUCAACCCCGGGCCUGCAGCCGAUACGGGCAAGCUAGAGUUCGGUAGGGGAGACUGGAAUUCAUGGUGUAGCAGUGAAAUGCGUAGAGAUCAUGAGGAAGACCAGUGGCGAAGGCGGGUCUCUGGACAGUUCCUGACACUGAGACACGAAGGCCAGGGGAGCAAACGGG